GUAGGUGAACCUGCGGAAGGAUCAUUACACACAGUAACUAGUUUACUGCACAGGGGGAGCUGAAAGCCCGGUUUAACUGCUGGAUCCCGAGUAAGCUCCCUGUCUGCACCCUUGUCUUUUGCGUACCUAUGUUUCCUCGGUGGGCUUGCCUGCCGGUUGGACAAUUAUAAACUCUUUUUAAUUUUAAAUCAGCGUCUGAAUAAUUUUAAUAAUUACAACUUUCAACAACGGAUCUCUUGGUUCUG
Molecule: unclassified non-coding RNA, 245 nt
Filed under: rhizosphere metagenome
Description: partial ribosomal RNA internal transcribed spacer region
Source: RNAcentral